This 483-nucleotide ribosomal RNA is filed under the name uncultured bacterium. RNAcentral's name for it is "partial 16S ribosomal RNA". It matches the Rfam family "Bacterial small subunit ribosomal RNA", at positions 30 to 507 of the family's 1533-position model. The record is from RNAcentral.
AUUGAACGCUGGCGGCAGGCCUAACACAUGCAAGUCGAGCGGAUGAAGGGAGCUUGCUCCUGGAUUCAGCGGCGGACGGGUGAGUAAUGCCUAGGAAUCUGCCUGGUAGUGGGGGAUAACGUCCGGAAACGGGCGCCAAUACCGCAUACGUCCUGAGGGAGAAAGUGGGGGAUCUUCGGACCUCACGCUAUCAGAUGAGCCUAGGUCGGAUUAGCUAGUUGGUGGGUAAAGGCCUACCAAGGCGACGAUCCGUAACUGGUCUGAGAGGAUGAUCAGUCACACUGGAACUGAGACACGGUCCAGACUCCUACGGGAGGCAGCAGUGGGGAAUAUUGGACAAUGGGCGAAAGCCUGAUCCAGCCAUGCCGCGUGUGUGAAGAAGGUCUUCGGAUUGUAAAGCACUUUAAGUUGGGAGGAAGGGCAGUAAGUUAAUACCUUGCUGUUUUGACGUUACCAACAGAAUAAGCACCGGCUAACUUCGUG